Molecule: ribosomal RNA, 480 nt
Filed under: uncultured bacterium
Lineage: Bacteria
Description: partial 16S ribosomal RNA
Rfam family: Bacterial small subunit ribosomal RNA
Source: RNAcentral
GACGAACGCUGGCGGCGCGCUUAACACAUGCAAGUCGAGCGAUGGAACUUUAACAGAACCCUUCGGGGCGGAGAUAAAGGGGAUUAGCGGCGGUCGGGGGAGUAACACGUAAGUAACCUGCCUUAGACAUUGGGAUAGCCGCGGGAAACCGGGAUUAAUACCAAAUAAAAUCAUAAUGACACAUGGCAUAACGAUCAAAACUCCGGUGGUCUAAGAUGGACUCGCGUCCCGUUAGCUAGUUGGUAGAGUAAAAGCCUACCAAAGCGACGAUGGGUAGCCGGGCUGAGAGAGUGGACGGCCACAUUGGAGCUAGGAAACGGUCGAGAAUCCUACGGGAGGGAGGCGUGGGGGAUACUGCACAAUGGAGGGAGCUCUGAUGGAGCGACGCCGGGUGAACGAAGAAGGCUGUCGAGUCGUGAAGUUCUUUUAUAUGGGAAGAUAAUGACGGUACCGGAAGAAAAAGCCCCGGCUAACUACGUG